Sorghum bicolor (sorghum) is the source of this 1789-nucleotide long non-coding RNA. RefSeq lists it as uncharacterized. The record is from RefSeq and is a predicted model, not a curated record. NCBI's taxonomy places the organism in Eukaryota, Viridiplantae, Streptophyta, Magnoliopsida, Poales, Poaceae. The transcript has 2 exons.
CUCUGCUCCAUUAGUGCGUCCGAGACGGCGUCGCCAGCAGCCACCGCUAGUUCGCUACUCAUCCUGAUCCUCUGCGUCGUGGGUUGGAGCGCCGCCACCGAAGUUGUUGAAGACGCCAUGCCACCGGUCAGGGGAGGCGUCACCCCUCAACCUGCCACACCACCAGCAGGCUGCACUCUGCAGCAAGUGGCGGCCAGCCGCGGCCCGCCACGACACCGGCCGGGGGAGGCGCCGCCCCCUCACCCCGCCAUGGGUCGCCAGCUGCCGCCCCUGUGCGUCCGCCAUGGGUCGCCACCCCCCACGAGCCCGUCCUUGUCCUCUCUCAGCCGCCUCAGUCGCACCAUCCAUGGCGUACGCAAGCUCGCGGCUUGGGAAGACAAGAUUCUUUGUGCGGCGGACACAUCUUUUGGAAGACGACCCAAACCAACAGAGGUUGUUGAUUCGCUCAGCAUCGCCCUCCACUCCACCUGCAUCGUCUAGGCAGUGCGGCUCAAACAGAUCGAGCCCCUCCGAUAGGAAUUUUUGAUGUAGUAGCUCAAUCUGAAAGUGAAUCAGGUGGUUCCAUCAAAAAUAUUUCAGAUGCCUCUCGCACGGAUAGCAGUAGUGGUCACUCAUCAGAUGGUUCUGAUGGACCCAGGGGACCAACCACAGAUGCAUAUGUGCAUGUCUUAGAUGAGUCUAAUACAAAGGUAAAUAAGUCAGAGCUAGCAAAGACCGUGGCAGGUAGAGUUAAAACUACAAAGAAGAGGAAAGUCCCAAGUUCUCUUCAGUCACCAAUAACGACUUCCAAUGCUGUAAAAAAGGAGGGGUACUGACGCGAGUCCAAUAAAAAGAGGUGAACAUAUCUUUUGUAUAUCUUGUUAAUAGAGAAUAAAGUACUAUCAUCAUUGUAAAAUACUUAUGUCUCGUAAUGUUCAUUACCAAGUAGCUUUCGUGACAAAAAAAACAACGACGAAGAACAAAAUUAAGCCUACUGCUAUGCUGUCCCAACGUCCAAAAAUGACAAAAAAAAAGGUAAUUUAUAUUUUACUUUUGAUCUAAAUAUAAGUAGUAUCCUCAUGUACUUAUUCCUUGGUUCCUCUUACGGUUCAUUUUCAGAUUUUACUAGUGCCAGCUUCAAUGACAAAAAAUUAGUUAUCAAGAAAAUUAGUACUUCUAGUACAAGGACUUCUGACCUAGGAAGUAUGAAAAAGAGAAAUGGUGAAUUGAAAAAUUGUUUGUCAUAUCUUAGUUAAAUUUUGCAACUAUUGGUAAACCCAAUAUGCUUAUUGUUAUUAUUUUUAGUGGGGAUGGAUUAUAACCAACAAGAUAUGGAAGCACUCUCUUCUCGAGAGGCAGCAGCAGUACAGUUCAUUUCCAACUUGUGCGCACAUAAUGAAACAAGUAAAACACGCGUGGUGAAGACACAAGCUACUACUUAUCAUCAUUUAUCAGCAAAUGACAUGAAGGGGCACAUCAUUCCUCGAAUUAUUGAAAAAUCCGACACUUGAUUUGUACUUAACAUUCAUUGUACUUAUCUGAUUCUAGGAAUACUCAUGACGGAAUUGUUAUAAUCAGGAUAACGUCCACGUCUUUCGGAUGAGACUGACGUCUUUCGGAUGAGACUGAUUGCGGACAUUAUAUUUUCCCCGACAAAUGAUAUUGAAGAAUCCAAACAGCGUGUUCAAGGCAUCACGCAAGAAUUGAAGCGUUAGAGAAUAGAUAUUUAUUUUUCUUAGGUGUAAUGGUUUGUUACCUUUCUCUGAGACUCAUGUCACUUAUUGGAUUACAAAUAAGAUUAGUUGCUCCA